AGAGUUUGAUCCUGGCUCAGGAUGAACGCUGGCGGCGUGCUUAACACAUGCAAGUCGAACGGACUCAUAUUGAAACCUAGUGAUUUAUGAGUUAGUGGCGGACGGGUGAAUAACGCGUGGAAAACCUGCCGUAUACUGGGGGAUAACACUUAGAAAUAGGUGCUAAUACCGCAUAAGCGCACAGCUUCGCAUGAAGUGGUGUGAAAAACUCUGGUGGUAUACGAUGGUUCCGCGUCUGAUUAGCUUGUUGGUGGGGUAAUGGCUCACCAAGGCGACGAUCAGUAGCCGGCCUGAGAGGGUGAACGGCCACAUUGGGACUGAGACACGGCCCAAACUCCUACGGGAGGCAGCAGUGGGGAAUAUUGCACAAUGGGGGAAACCCUGAUGCAGCGACGCCGCGUGAGUGAAGAAGUAUUUCGGUAUGUAAAGCUCUAUCAGCAGGGAAGAAAUAGCGACCUUUGGGUCGCCAGACGGUACCUGAUUAAGAAGCCCCGGCUAACUACGUGCCAGCAGCCGCGGUAAUACGUAGGGGGCAAGCGUUAUCCGGAUUUACUGGGUGUAAAGGGAGCGUAGACGGCAGCGCAAGUCUGAAGUGAAAUGCCGGGGCUUAACCCCGGAACUGCUUUGGAAACUGUGCAGCUAGAGUGCAGGAGAGGUAAGUGGAAUUCCUAGUGUAGCGGUGAAAUGCGUAGAUAUUAGGAGGAACACCAGUGGCGAAGGCGGCUUACUGGACUGUAACUGACGUUGAGGCUCGAAAGCGUGGGGAGCAAACAGGAUUAGAUACCCUGGUAGUCCACGCUGUAAACGAUGAUU
RNAcentral lists this ribosomal RNA (813 nucleotides) under uncultured bacterium. RNAcentral's name for it is "bacterial SSU rRNA". It matches the Rfam family "Bacterial small subunit ribosomal RNA", at positions 8 to 814 of the family's 1533-position model. The record is from RNAcentral.